RNAcentral lists this transfer RNA (64 nucleotides) under Diaphanoeca grandis. The record is from RNAcentral. Lineage: Eukaryota; Choanoflagellata; Acanthoecida; Stephanoecidae.
UGCUCAGAGACAACCAAACUGGGAAAAGCGAUGCAGAAUCGUAUAAGAAAUAAUUAAUAAGCCA